AGAGAUGCUUUGGUGCCUUCGGGAAUCCUGACACAGGUGCUGCAUGGCUGUCGUCANCUCGUGUCGUGAAAUGUUGGGUUAAGUCCCGNAACGAGCGCAACCCUUGUCCUUUGUUGCCAGCGGUUAGGCCGGGAACUCAAAGGAGACUGCCAGUGAUAAANGGAGGAAGGUGGGGAUGACGUCAAGUCAUCAUGGCCCUUACGAGUAGGGCUACACACGUGCUACAANGGCGCAUACAAAGAGAAGCGACCUCGCGAGAGCAAGCGGACCUCAAAGUGCGUCGUAGUCCGGAUNGGAGUCUGCAACUCGACUCCRUGAAGUCGGAAUCGCUAGUAAUCGUGGAUCAGAAUGCCACGGUGAAUACG
This 365-nucleotide ribosomal RNA is filed under the name Pantoea sp. RNAcentral describes it as "bacterial SSU rRNA". It matches the Rfam family "Bacterial small subunit ribosomal RNA", at positions 1002 to 1370 of the family's 1533-position model. Lineage: Bacteria; Pseudomonadati; Pseudomonadota; Gammaproteobacteria; Enterobacterales; Erwiniaceae. The record is from RNAcentral.